RNAcentral lists this ribosomal RNA (492 nucleotides) under uncultured bacterium. RNAcentral describes it as "partial 16S ribosomal RNA". It matches the Rfam family "Bacterial small subunit ribosomal RNA", at positions 29 to 507 of the family's 1533-position model. The record is from RNAcentral.
AGUGAACGCUGGCGGUAGGCCUAACACAUGCAAGUCGAACGGCAGCACAGUAAGAGCUUGCUCUUACGGGUGGCGAGUGGCGGACGGGUGAGGAAUACAUCGGAAUCUACUUUUUCGUGGGGGAUAACGUAGGGAAACUUACGCUAAUACCGCAUACGACCUACGGGUGAAAGCAGGGGAUCUUCGGACCUUGUGCGAUUGAAUGAGCCGAUGUCGGAUUAGCUAGUUGGCGGGGUAAAGGCCCACCAAGGCGACGAUCCGUAGCUGGUCUGAGAGGAUGAUCAGCCACACUGGAACUGAGACACGGUCCAGACUCCUACGGGAGGCAGCAGUGGGGAAUAUUGGACAAAGGGCGCAAGCCUGAUCCAGCCAUACCGCGUGGGUGAAGAAGGCCUUCGGGUUGUAAAGCCCUUUUGUUGGGAAAGAAAAGCAGCAGGUUAAUACCCCGCUGUUCUGACGGUACCCAAAGAAUAAGCACCGGCUAACUUCGUG